RNAcentral lists this ribosomal RNA (499 nucleotides) under Elizabethkingia anophelis. RNAcentral's name for it is "bacterial SSU rRNA". It matches the Rfam family "Bacterial small subunit ribosomal RNA", at positions 1030 to 1533 of the family's 1533-position model. The record is from RNAcentral. Lineage: Bacteria; Pseudomonadati; Bacteroidota; Flavobacteriia; Flavobacteriales; Weeksellaceae.
UUUUCAAGGUGCUGCAUGGUUGUCGUCAGCUCGUGCCGUGAGGUGUUAGGUUAAGUCCUGCAACGAGCGCAACCCCUGUCACUAGUUGCUAACAUUAAGUUGAGGACUCUAGUGAGACUGCCUACGCAAGUAGAGAGGAAGGUGGGGAUGACGUCAAAUCAUCACGGCCCUUACGUCUUGGGCCACACACGUGCUACAAUGGCCGGUACAGAGGGCAGCUACCUAGUGAUAGGAUGCAAAUCUCGAAAGCCGGUCUCAGUUCGGAUUGGAGUCUGCAACUCGACUCUAUGAAGCUGGAAUCGCUAGUAAUCGCGCAUCAGCCAUGGCGCGGUGAAUACGUUCCCGGGCCUUGUACACACCGCCCGUCAAGCCAUGGAAGCUGGGGGUACCUGAAGUCGGUGACCGUAAAAGGAGCUGCCUAGGGUAAAACUAGUAACUAGGGCUAAGUCGUAACAAGGUAGCCGUACCGGAAGGUGCGGCUGGAACAUCUCAUUUUAGA